CCAAUAGCGUAUAUUAAAGUUGUUGCAGUUAAAAAGCUCGUAGUUGAAUUUCGGGGUCAGUAGGUCGGUCGUGCCACUGGUAUGAACUGGUUUUACUGAUUCCUCCCUCUUGAAGAACUGUAAUGCCAUUAAUUUGUUGUUGCAGGGAAUCAGGACUGUUACUUUGAAAAAAUUAGAGUGUUUAAAGCAGGCUUUAGCUUGAAUACAUUAGCAUGGAAUAAUGAAAUAGGACGUUUGAUCCUAUUUUGUUGGUUUCUAGGAUUGACGUAAUGAUUAAUAGGGAUAGUUGGGGGCAUUAGUAUUCAAUUGUCAGAGGUGAAAUUCUUGGAUUUAUUGAAGACUAACUACUGCGAAAGCAUUUGCCAAGGAUGUUUUCAUUAAUCAAGAACGAAAGUUAGGGGAUCGAAGACGAUCAGAUACCGUCGUAGUCUUAACCAUAAACUAUGCCGACUAGGGAUCGGAUGAUGUUAAUUUUUUAAUGACCCAUUCGGCGCCUUACG
This 500-nucleotide unclassified non-coding RNA is filed under the name uncultured Glomus. Its description in RNAcentral is "SSU rRNA". It matches the Rfam family "Eukaryotic small subunit ribosomal RNA", at positions 591 to 1092 of the family's 1831-position model. The record is from RNAcentral. Lineage: Eukaryota; Fungi; Glomeromycota; Glomeromycetes; Glomerales; Glomeraceae.